RNAcentral lists this ribosomal RNA (235 nucleotides) under uncultured bacterium. Its description in RNAcentral is "partial 16S ribosomal RNA". It matches the Rfam family "Bacterial small subunit ribosomal RNA", at positions 96 to 334 of the family's 1533-position model. The record is from RNAcentral.
CGGCGGACGGGUGAGUAACGCGUAGGAAUCUACCCAGUAGUGGGGGACAACAUGGUGAAAGCCAUGCUAAUACCGCAUACGCCCUAAGGGGGAAAGCGGGGGACCUUCGGGCCUCGCGCUAUUGGAUGAGCCUGCGUCGGAUUAGCUUGUUGGUGAGGUAAAAGCUCACCAAGGCGACGAUCCGUAGCUGGUCUGAGAGGAUGAUCAGCCACACUGGAACUGAGACACGGUCCAG